This 366-nucleotide long non-coding RNA is filed under the name Manihot esculenta (cassava). RNAcentral describes it as "long non-coding RNA (MESC_LNC002426)". Lineage: Eukaryota; Viridiplantae; Streptophyta; Magnoliopsida; Malpighiales; Euphorbiaceae. The record is from RNAcentral.
CGGCAUCGCUCAAAGCGCUCAAAAUCUGGAGAUGAAUCUCGUGACCGACACAAAGAUAGGGUUUCAUCUCGUCAUCGUUCUCGAUCUAGAGAUGGAGAGAGGGAUCGACAGCGGAGUAGCCGAGAACAUAGAGAUAAGGACAGAGGUAGAGAUAGGGAGAGGGAUAGAGAUAGGGAGGAGAGAAAUGGGAAAGAGAGGGACAGGGAUAGAGAUCGGGAGCGUGAUCAUGAUAAGGACAGGAGGGAGCGCGACCGUGACAGUGAAAAGGACAGGGAGAAGGAAAGAGAGCGGUCGCGUCGAAGCAGGAGUCGAUCUGAAAGGCGUCAGAGCGAUUUGGAUGAAAGGGAAACAGAAAAGAGCCGUGAC